CAGGCCUAACACAUGCAAGUCGAGCGGUAUUUGUUCUUCGGAACAGAGAGAGCGGCGUACGGGUGCGGAACACGUGUGCAACCUGCCUUUAUCAGGGGGAUAGCCUUUCGAAAGGAAGAUUAAUACCCCAUAAUAUAUUAAGUGGCAUCACUUGAUAUUGAAAACUCCGGUGGAUAAAGAUGGGCACGCGCAAGAUUAGAUAGUUGGUAGGGUAACGGCCUACCAAGUCAGUGAUCUUUAGGGGGCCUGAGAGGGUGAUCCCCCACACUGGUACUGAGACACGGACCAGACUCCUACGGGAGGCAGCAGUGAGGAAUAUUGGACAAUGGGUGAGAGCCUGAUCCAGCCAUCCCGCGUGAAGGACGACGGCCCUAUGGGUUGUAAACUUCUUUUGUAUAGGGAUAAACCUUUCCACGUGUGGAAAGCUGAAGGUACUAUACGAAUAAGCACCGGCUAACUCCGUGCCAGCAGCCGCGGUAAU
RNAcentral lists this ribosomal RNA (481 nucleotides) under uncultured bacterium. Its description in RNAcentral is "bacterial SSU rRNA". It matches the Rfam family "Bacterial small subunit ribosomal RNA", at positions 43 to 524 of the family's 1533-position model. The record is from RNAcentral.